CGCACUUAUAACCCCGGCGAGCUGCCGCUGGUGCCCGUACUCACCACCUCUGAGUGGAGUGGCGUUCAAACAACAAGCCGAACAACGUCGAGACCAAGCGACGGUGGUCAUUUUCAACUUCAGGGCUCCUGGCUGCCCCAUGCUCCAGACUUAAGCUCAGGGGUGAUCGGGCCUUUGCUGUGUCUGCCCCCAAACUGUGGAACAGCAUCUCCUGCAAUCAGAUCUGCCCCCACCAUUGACUUAUUUAAGUCCAGGCUCAAGAGUCCCCCUGAUGUGGUCUUCCCUGGCACGUGCCUGUGUGUGUUGUGUCUCCAAAUGUGUGAGCUGUUUACCUGACAGUUACGUCGCCUCUUAUGUGUGUGUUUUUAGCAUUUUAUUCCUUUUGUGCAGCCCUUUGGUCAAUAUGAGCUGUUUUUAAAUUGAUAUAGCACUUUUCACAGAAAUGAAAUUCACAAAGUGAUUCACAAAAUAUAAUCAAAUGAUCAAACUAACAAAAUAACAAAGCAACAAAAAGGAAGUAAAACACAUGAGCAAAUACAGGCUACUGAGGCCUCAAACAGAAACUUACCAGGGAUACAAACACAGACAGUUUAGGGUGGGACAAAAACAAGUUUGAAAAGAUCUUAGUGUUGGAGCCACUUCUUCAAAGACACAAUCACCUUUCGUUUUGAGUCAGGAGCGGGGACCUAAGGGACCUACUGACGAUAUAAGGAUGGAGAUCACUGAUCUGUUCAGGUGCCUGACCAUGGAGGGCUCUGUACACGAGAACAAGUAUCUUGAAGUGAAUCCUGAACCUGAUGGGCGGCCAGUGUAAAGACACUAAAAUGGGAGUGAUGUGAGUUGACCUGUUGGACCUGGUUGACAGCCUGACAGCAGCGUUCUGGAUUAUUUGAAGACGAUUCAGAGAUGAUUUGUUUGGGCAAGUUAAAAGAGAAUUGCAGUAGUCCAGUCGGGAGGACACAUUUAUUUGACCAUAUCACAUAGUGUGGAGGACAGACAUUACAUACAAUAACAAAACAAUGGCACACAGCGUGGCUAAAGUACAACCUUAAACAAAGGAAGGACAUUCUUCAGAAAAGUUGGGGAAACACCCCUUUAUUUGUGCAUGUUUUAUUUUAUGUCAUACUGUAGGCAGUUAUUGAAUCUUAUGAGCAACUGAAAGUGUUGUUGUGGAAUUUAACGUAACGACUACUGAAUGUAUCAUGUUGAUACUUAUUUACUUUUUAUUCUAUAGACUUUUAAUAACAUUGUUUGUUCAUUUAUUCUGUCUUGGUGGGUUUGCUUUUUUAAUAUUUUAUUGUCUUAUUGUUGUCAUUUUCUAGUCUUGCAGAACUUUAUGUUUAGUUGUUUGUAUUAUCUUUCAAUGUCCGUGUCUGUGUCAUUUCUAUUGUGCCAUGUGAAGCACUUUGGGCUGCACGUUUGUAUGAAAGGUGCUAUAUAAAUAAAGUUGAGUUGAGUAAA
Non-coding RNA from Epinephelus lanceolatus (giant grouper), 1461 nucleotides. NCBI's taxonomy places the organism in Eukaryota, Metazoa, Chordata, Actinopteri, Perciformes, Serranidae. The record is from RefSeq and is a predicted model, not a curated record.